RNAcentral lists this ribosomal RNA (491 nucleotides) under uncultured bacterium. RNAcentral's name for it is "partial 16S ribosomal RNA". It matches the Rfam family "Bacterial small subunit ribosomal RNA", at positions 29 to 506 of the family's 1533-position model. The record is from RNAcentral.
AGUGAACGCUGGCGGUAGGCCUAACACAUGCAAGUCGAACGGCAGCACAGUAAGAGCUUGCUCUUACGGGUGGCGAGUGGCGGACGGGUGAGGAAUACAUCGGAAUCUACUUUUUCGUGGGGGAUAACGUAGGGAAACUUACGCUAAUACCGCAUACGACCUACGGGUGAAAGCAGGGGAUCUUCGGACCUUGCGCGAUUGAAUGAGCCGAUGUCGGAUUAGCUAGUUGGCGGGGUAAAGGCCCACCAAGGCGACGAUCCGUAGCUGGUCUGAGAGGAUGAUCAGCCCCACGGGAAUUGAGCAACGUACCAGACUCCUCAGGGAGGCAGAGUGGGGGAAUUUGGGAAAAGGGGGGAAAGCCUGAUCCAGCCAUACCGGGUGGGUGAAGAAGGCCUUCGGGUUGUAAAGCCCUUUUGUGGGGAAAAAAAAGCAGCAGGUUAAAACCCCGCUGUUUUGGCGGUACCCAAAGAAAAAGCACCGGCUAACUUCUG